Molecule: ribosomal RNA, 2790 nt
Filed under: metagenome
Description: bacterial LSU rRNA
Rfam family: Bacterial large subunit ribosomal RNA
Source: RNAcentral
UUAAGCGACUAAGCGUACACGGUGGAUGCCCUGGCAGUCAGAGGCGAUGAAGGACGUGCUAAUCUGCGAUAAGCGUCGGUAAGGUGAUAUGAACCGUUAUAACCGGCGAUUUCCGAAUGGGGAAACCCAGUGUGUUUCGACACACUAUCAUUAACUGAAUCCAUAGGUUAAUGAGGCGAACCGGGGGAACUGAAACAUCUAAGUACCCCGAGGAAAAGAAAUCAACCGAGAUUCCCCCAGUAGCGGCGAGCGAACGGGGAGCAGCCCAGAGCCUGAAUCAGUGUGUGUGUUAGUGGAAGCGUCUGGAAAGGCGCGCGAUACAGGGUGACAGCCCCGUACACAAAAAUGCACAUGCUGUGAGCUCGAUGAGUAGGGCGGGACACGUGGUAUCCUGUCUGAAUAUGGGGGGACCAUCCUCCAAGGCUAAAUACUCCUGACUGACCGAUAGUGAACCAGUACCGUGAGGGAAAGGCGAAAAGAACCCCGGCGAGGGGAGUGAAAAAGAACCUGAAACCGUGUACGUACAAGCAGUGGGAGCACGCUUAGGCGUGUGACUGCGUACCUUUUGUAUAAUGGGUCAGCGACUUAUAUUCUGUAGCAAGGUUAACCGAAUAGGGGAGCCGAAGGGAAACCGAGUCUUAACUGGGCGUUAAGUUGCAGGGUAUAGACCCGAAACCCGGUGAUCUAGCCAUGGGCAGGUUGAAGGUUGGGUAACACUAACUGGAGGACCGAACCGACUAAUGUUGAAAAAUUAGCGGAUGACUUGUGGCUGGGGGUGAAAGGCCAAUCAAACCGGGAGAUAGCUGGUUCUCCCCGAAAGCUAUUUAGGUAGCGCCUCGUGAAUUCAUCUCCGGGGGUAGAGCACUGUUUCGGCAAGGGGGUCAUCCCGACUUACCAACCCGAUGCAAACUGCGAAUACCGGAGAAUGUUAUCACGGGAGACACACGGCGGGUGCUAACGUCCGUCGUGAAGAGGGAAACAACCCAGACCGCCAGCUAAGGUCCCAAAGUCAUGGUUAAGUGGGAAACGAUGUGGGAAGGCCCAGACAGCCAGGAUGUUGGCUUAGAAGCAGCCAUCAUUUAAAGAAAGCGUAAUAGCUCACUGGUCGAGUCGGCCUGCGCGGAAGAUGUAACGGGGCUAAACCAUGCACCGAAGCUGCGGCAGCGACGCUGAUGCGUUGUUGGGUAGGGGAGCGUUCUGUAAGCCUGCGAAGGUGUGCUGUGAGGCAUGCUGGAGGUAUCAGAAGUGCGAAUGCUGACAUAAGUAACGAUAAAGCGGGUGAAAAGCCCGCUCGCCGGAAGACCAAGGGUUCCUGUCCAACGUUAAUCGGGGCAGGGUGAGUCGACCCCUAAGGCGAGGCCGAAAGGCGUAGUCGAUGGGAAACAGGUUAAUAUUCCUGUACUUGGUGUUACUGCGAAGGGGGGACGGAGAAGGCUAUGUUGGCCGGGCGACGGUUGUCCCGGUUUAAGCGUGUAGGCUGGUUUUCCAGGCAAAUCCGGAAAAUCAAGGCUGAGGCGUGAUGACGAGGCACUACGGUGCUGAAGCAACAAAUGCCCUGCUUCCAGGAAAAGCCUCUAAGCAUCAGGUAACAUCAAAUCGUACCCCAAACCGACACAGGUGGUCAGGUAGAGAAUACCAAGGCGCUUGAGAGAACUCGGGUGAAGGAACUAGGCAAAAUGGUGCCGUAACUUCGGGAGAAGGCACGCUGAUAUGUAGGUGAAGUCCCUUGCGGAUGGAGCUGAAAUCAGUCGAAGAUACCAGCUGGCUGCAACUGUUUAUUAAAAACACAGCACUGUGCAAACACGAAAGUGGACGUAUACGGUGUGACGCCUGCCCGGUGCCGGAAGGUUAAUUGAUGGGGUCAGCGCAAGCGAAGCUCUUGAUCGAAGCCCCGGUAAACGGCGGCCGUAACUAUAACGGUCCUAAGGUAGCGAAAUUCCUUGUCGGGUAAGUUCCGACCUGCACGAAUGGCGUAAUGAUGGCCAGGCUGUCUCCACCCGAGACUCAGUGAAAUUGAACUCGCUGUGAAGAUGCAGUGUACCCGCGGCAAGACGGAAAGACCCCGUGAACCUUUACUAUAGCUUGACACUGAACAUUGAGCCUUGAUGUGUAGGAUAGGUGGGAGGCUUUGAAGUGUGGACGCCAGUCUGCAUGGAGCCGACCUUGAAAUACCACCCUUUAAUGUUUGAUGUUCUAACGUUGACCCGUAAUCCGGGUUGCGGACAGUGUCUGGUGGGUAGUUUGACUGGGGCGGUCUCCUCCUAAAGAGUAACGGAGGAGCACGAAGGUUGGCUAAUCCUGGUCGGACAUCAGGAGGUUAGUGCAAUGGCAUAAGCCAGCUUGACUGCGAGCGUGACGGCGCGAGCAGGUGCGAAAGCAGGUCAUAGUGAUCCGGUGGUUCUGAAUGGAAGGGCCAUCGCUCAACGGAUAAAAGGUACUCCGGGGAUAACAGGCUGAUACCGCCCAAGAGUUCAUAUCGACGGCGGUGUUUGGCACCUCGAUGUCGGCUCAUCACAUCCUGGGGCUGAAGUAGGUCCCAAGGGUAUGGCUGUUCGCCAUUUAAAGUGGUACGCGAGCUGGGUUUAGAACGUCGUGAGACAGUUCGGUCCCUAUCUGCCGUGGGCGCUGGAGAACUGAGGGGGGCUGCUCCUAGUACGAGAGGACCGGAGUGGACGCAUCACUGGUGUUCGGGUUGUCAUGCCAAUGGCACUGCCCGGUAGCUAAAUGCGGAAGAGAUAAGUGCUGAAAGCAUCUAAGCACGAAACUUGCCCCGAGAUGAGUUCUCCCUGA